RNAcentral lists this microRNA (23 nucleotides) under Sus scrofa (pig). RNAcentral's name for it is "ssc-miR-664-5p". Its record names the gene ssc-miR-664-5p. Lineage: Eukaryota; Metazoa; Chordata; Mammalia; Artiodactyla; Suidae. The record is from miRBase by way of RNAcentral.
CAGGCUAGGAGAAGUGAUUGGAU